Molecule: ribosomal RNA, 539 nt
Filed under: uncultured bacterium
Lineage: Bacteria
Description: bacterial SSU rRNA
Rfam family: Bacterial small subunit ribosomal RNA
Source: RNAcentral
UGGGGAAUCUUGGACAAUGGGGGCAACCCUGAUCCAGCCAUGCCGCGUGAGUGAUGAAGGCCUUAGGGUCGUAAAGCUCUUUCGCCUGUGAAGAUAAUGACGGUAGCAGGUAAAGAAACCCCGGCUAACUCCGUGCCAGCAGCCGCGGUAAUACGGAGGGGGUUAGCGUUGUUCGGAAUUACUGGGCGUAAAGGGCGUGUAGGCGGAUCGGUCAGUCAGUGGUGAAAGCCCCGGGCUCAACCUGGGAAUUGCCUCUGAUACUGCCGAUCUAGAGUCCGGGAGAGGGUAGUGGAAUUCCCAGUGUAGAGGUGAAAUUCGUGGAUAUUGGGAAGAACACCAGUGGCGAAGGCGGCUACCUGGACCGGUACUGACGCUGAGGCGCGAAAGCGUGGGGAGCAAACAGGAUUAGAUACCCUGGUAGUCCACGCCGUAAACGAUGUCUGCUAGACGUCGGGGGGCGCAGCCCUUCGGUGUCGCAGCUAACGCAUUAAGCAGACCGCCUGGGGAGUACGGCCGCAAGAUUAAAACUCAAAGGAAUU